CGCGGUACUCUGACCGUGCAAAGGUAGCAUAGUAAUUAGUUCUUUAAUUGAGGACUGGAAUGAACGGUUGGACGAGAAGUUAGCUGUCUCUAAUGUAAAUCUUGAAGUUUACUUUUAAGUGAAAAGGCUUAAAUAAUAUAAAGGGACGAUAAGACCCUAUAAAACUUUACUUCUUGUUUAAAAAGUAGUUGAAUUAAGGUAUAAAUUUGCUUUUGGAAUAAGUGUUUUGUUGGGGCGAUAGAAAUAUAAAUUGUUAACUGUUUUUAAAUCAAAAAUAAUGAUAAUUAGUUUAAAUGAUCCUUUAGUAUGGAUUAUAAGAUUAAGUUACUUUAGGGAUAACAGCGUAAUUUCUCUUGAGAGACCUAAUCGACAGAGUUAGUUGCGACCUCGAUGUUGAAUUAAGAUAUCAUUUAGGUGUAGAAGUCUAAAUA
This 431-nucleotide ribosomal RNA is filed under the name Lysmata boggessi. Its description in RNAcentral is "partial 16S ribosomal RNA". It matches the Rfam family "Bacterial large subunit ribosomal RNA", at positions 1932 to 2569 of the family's 2925-position model. Lineage: Eukaryota; Metazoa; Arthropoda; Malacostraca; Decapoda; Hippolytidae. The record is from RNAcentral.